AUAAGAGGUCCCGCCUGCCCGGUGACCCCUGGGUUAAACGGCCGCGGUAUUUUGACCGUGCGAAGGUAGCGCAAUCACUUGUCCUUUAAAUGAGGACCUGUAUGAAUGGCUAGACGAGGGCUUAGCUGUCUCCUCCCCCCAGUCAAUGAAAUUGAUCUCCCCGUGCAGAAGCGGGGAUUAACACAUAAGACGAGAAGACCCUAUGGAGCUUUAGACACUAGACAGCCCACGUUACACCCCCUCCAUUAAGAGGGGAAAACAUUGUGGCUCCUGCCUCCCCUGUCUUCGGUUGGGGCGACCGCGGAGGAUAGCAAAGCCUCCUUGUGGACCAAGGUUACGAACCUCACACCUAAGGGCUGCCGCCCUAAGCAACAGAAAUUCUGACCAAGAUGAUCCGGCGUAACGCCGAUUAACGGAACAAGUUACCCUAGGGAUAACAGCGCAAUCCUCUCCCAGAGUCCCUAUCGACGAGGGGGUUUACGACCUCGAUGUUGGAUCAGGACAUCCUAUUGGUGCAGCCGCUAAUAAGGGUUCGUUUGUUCAACGAUUAAAGUCCUACGUGAUCUGAGUUCAGACCGGAGCAAUCCAGGUCAGUUUCUAUCUAUGA
This 607-nucleotide ribosomal RNA is filed under the name Salangichthys microdon (Japanese icefish). Its description in RNAcentral is "partial 16S ribosomal RNA". It matches the Rfam family "Bacterial large subunit ribosomal RNA", at positions 1845 to 2647 of the family's 2925-position model. Lineage: Eukaryota; Metazoa; Chordata; Actinopteri; Osmeriformes; Salangidae. The record is from RNAcentral.